Molecule: ribosomal RNA, 416 nt
Filed under: uncultured bacterium
Lineage: Bacteria
Description: bacterial SSU rRNA
Rfam family: Bacterial small subunit ribosomal RNA
Source: RNAcentral
UCGGGAAUAUUGCGCAAUGGAGGAAACUCUGACGCAGUGACGCCGCGUGCAGGAAGAAGGUUUUCGGAUUGUAAACUGCUUUAGACAGGGAAGAAAAAAUGACAGUACCUGUAGAAUAAGCUCCGGCUAACUACGUGCCAGCAGCCGCGGUAAUACGUAGGGAGCAAGCGUUAUCCGGAUUUAUUGGGUGUAAAGGGUGCGUAGACGGAGAAGCAAGUUAGUUGUGAAAUCCCUCGGCUUAACCGAGGAACUGCAACUAAAACUACUUCCCUUGAGUGCUGGAGAGGAAAGUGGAAUUCCUAGUGUAGCGGUGAAAUGCGUAGAUAUUAGGAGGAACACCAGUGGCGAAGGCGACUUUCUGGACAGUAACUGACGUUGAGGCACGAAAGUGUGGGGAGCAAACAGGAUUAGAUACC